AGUGAACGCUGGCGGUAGGCCUAACACAUGCAAGUCGAACGGCAGCACAGUAAGAGCUUGCUCUUACGGGUGGCGAGUGGCGGACGGGUGAGGAAUACAUCGGAAUCUACUUUUUCGUGGGGGAUAACGUAGGGAAACUUACGCUAAUACCGCAUACGACCUACGGGUGAAAGCAGGGGAUCUUCGGACCUUGCGCGAUUGAAUGAGCCGAUGUCGGAUUAGCUAGUUGGCGGGGUAAAGGCCCACCAAGGCGACGAUCCGUAGCUGGUCUGAGAGGAUGAUCAGCCACACUGGAACUGGGACAAGGUCCAGACUCCUACGGGAGGCAGCAGUGGGGAAUAUUGGACAAUGGGCGCAAGCCUGAUCCAGCCAUACCGCGUGGGUGAAGAAGGCCUUCGGGUUGUAAAGCCCUUUUGUUGGGAAAGAAAAGCAGCAGGUUAAUACCCCGCUGUUCUGACGGUACCCAAAGAAUAAGCACCGGCUAACUUCGUG
RNAcentral lists this ribosomal RNA (492 nucleotides) under uncultured bacterium. Its description in RNAcentral is "partial 16S ribosomal RNA". It matches the Rfam family "Bacterial small subunit ribosomal RNA", at positions 29 to 507 of the family's 1533-position model. The record is from RNAcentral.